GGAGCUGGGGGGGGGAGUUGAACUGAGUGUCUCACUUUGUAUGUAUGUAGCUAGAGGUAUCUUUCUGCCCUGCCAUUCCUAAAACUUUUCAUCCAGUAUUAUUUUCCUAUGGCUAAAUGUUGUUUCUGUGUCCUGCAUCAGACCAAUGGAAUGAAGGCACAAGUUAUAAAAUGUCAAUGCAUAGCUAGCUAUAAUGCAGAGUCAAGAAAUGAGAAAGGAAAUAGAACAGUAGUUUUGCAGAGGAUGCCAUCUAAUAUCCCCUUCCCCAAUUUCCUUAUUAAAUCAAGAAGUUGGCAGAGAGGUUUAUCAAGACACCCUGGAUCUUUAAAGCUGAGAAUCUGUAUCUGCAGAGUUAGGAAAGUGGCAAAUAGACAAAUGAUGACGCAGGGCUCUUUGCUUGGCAUGUUGUUAGGUUUAGAAAGCAUUGGUUGGGGGGGUGGGGGUGGAGAGGGGACAGGUACAUUGUGAAGCCCCAGACCAGCUGACAGAGGGUGAGUUAAGAAGGGAAGAUUGCAUUUAAGAAUUAAAUGUCAUCAUUUUGGCGUCGGAAAGUUGUUUACCUUUCUCUCUGCGUGUCUCCAUGUUGGCAGCCUUCCAGCUCACAUGUGAUAGUCUUCCCUGUACUGCUGCAUCAUUAACUGAGUGCCUGAGCUUGCACAUGAUUGGCUGGGGAGGGCUUUCAUUCUAAACACUAAUUUCUAUUGGAGGGAGAAGCAGUGGCAGGUGAAAUGCUGUCUGAGAUUGGUUAGAGCCAGAAUAUCAAAUCUAAAUGUUCCAUUCCAAUUGCUUUAAAAGGGGUUCUGAACAGUUUGUGACUUAAAAUGUUAGCUAUUUGCUUUUAUUCCCCACCCACUCCUCCUUUGGAUUCCAAGCACUUUGGAAUGUGUCUGUAUUCUCAGAGCUAGUGUUUUAAAGAGAAAAGCAAAAAGCAGGAGCUUGUCUAUUGUAGGUUACUUUAGUUUAUUACUGGUGCAAGUGACGCAGAAGGAAAAACAAAUAUUCUGUGACUCGAGUUGCAUCAGUGACAGGCAUAUUUCCGGCUGCUGUGAGACAAGCCACGAUGACGUGACAUUAUUAUAGCCUUCAGGAGAGAUAACAAAAAGAGACUUUGGUGGGUGUCUAUCUUUGCCUUUGUGUGAAAAAACUCUUAACUAAACCAAGCAGUUUUCUUCUGUUAUAAACUCUCUUGAGGAUAGAGAGAGAUUGCUUGUUAGAGGAGAAUCUGUAAAACGCUGGACAGAGCUUAGAACAAAAAUGUGUCUUAGGUUACAACACUGUGAAUCGAAAGUCAGUGCUGGAUGAAUAUAGUGGUAAGAAAUACAAAGUUUACUUUCUGGUUGUUUUAUUUUACUUUUAAAUGAGAUCGUUGUGAGUUCUAAGAUGGUAGGAUAGUUGGGCAGUUGUGAACUAUAAACUAGUUCAGGUAGGGGUGCUGGAAAUCUUUCAUUUAUGAUACAUACGUAUCUAAAUAGAUGUGUUUCUUUAACAUUUCUGAUCAACUUUGUUUUCCCUUCUGACCUAUCCCAAAGCCAAUUCCAGAUAUAAAAUUAUUGUGGAGAAUGAAGUCUGUUUUACCUUCUUUUUCUUUUGGAAUUUCAAUGAAAUUCUAAGCAAUAAGCAUUAUCACAGAGCAUGAGGGAUUAUUUCCUGUGGUACAUUCUCAUGAAAUGUUCCAGUAAACUGAAGGAUUUAACAAUAAUAUAAGAAUCUGUGUGGGUGACUCACUGGCAUUGAGAGAGUCAAAUAUAGCCAGUUGUUCAGCAGUAGUUUUUUGGCUUUUGAACCAGAUCAGAUAACACUUUGAUUCGCCAUCUUGAUUCUUCUAAAGUAUUCCUAUCUUCUCAAGUAUUGUUUCAAGAUUUUAUUGCUUGCAGGCUUUAAUAAUCCCAGGAAGAAUGAACGAACAUAGUCUGCUAUUCAGAAGAAAGGAAAAAUAACCAGAAAGCCGUAUCUGGAAAUGGACAUGAUACGUGAAAGGAAAAGACAGAUAGAUGUGAUAGAUACCUACCUCCUCUGAUACUCUCUCAAACAUAACUUCAUUUUUAUUAUAUCUUCUCCGUUGUCAAGUGUUAUGCCUAAUUUGAAAUUCUUCCAUUGGAAGCGUACCACCUUCGUUUCUCCUUCUCCCCACUGAGACUCCUUGCUCUGCAAAGCUGUCUCCUCCAGAGGCAGUCUUGCAUCCUGCGGUGCUAAUUCUGCAGAGGAGGGCAACCAGAGGUCCAUCUGUGAUGGGAUACACUCAGGCUGAGAUUUUGCUUCUUCUGUCACGAGCAAAAAAAAAACAAUAUCUUGAAUCAGGUACCCAAACAGGCUAUGGAGUUUGAAGACAAUUUCUGAUAGCUGCCAUCACAUCACUUCUGUAAAAUAAGAUUUGCUAGCCUUUAAUGCCAUCAAAAACAGAUGAGAGAUGGCUAUCACAAUCUAGAGCUCCAUCUUUUCUAUUACUAUGGUCUGCAUCCUCAUACUUGAACUUGCCAGGAGAAGAACAUGCAUCUGAAUGUAUUCUCUUCUAAUUGGAGCCAGGGACUACAAUGGCUUUCUACUACAGUUCUACAUAAGAAAACCAUUGACCUGAAUAUCUUUCUAUUAUCAACUCGUCUUCAUUUUAUUUUACAUUCUCCUUGACCAAAUGCUAAUAUAUCGGAGUAAGUUAAGCAUUUAUGAGGCAUCAUUUCUUUUCUAUAAAAUGUUUUUUAUGCUAAGCACCACAAACUAGGUGUAUAUCUGUUCCAUAUUAUCAAUAUAACAUGUCUAACAAUAUGAUUUUUAAAAUCUACACUAGCUUUAUCAUGCCAUAGAUAUCCAUUCCACCAAAAUCUUAAGUCAUGUUCUUCUAAUUUUAAAAGCCUUGUUUCUCAGCAGUAUCCACUAUUUUAUCCAAACUAAGCAGCAAACUGCAAAAAAUAAUUUCAAAUCACCUAAAUUCUAUUCUCUCCUUUCUUUUGCAUCUUGUAACAUUUUAUAUUUGACUUGUAUUCUUUUCACUCAAAUUUACUUAUCUUUCUGCCAUUGUUUAACUGAAACAUAUGUCCAAAAUCGUAUUAUCUGAAAUCAAAAUAACAUUCUAGAAAAUAUAUUCUCAUCACUAAAAAUUAAAAUUCCAUAAAUGUUAUCAUUUAGAGAACUUUGUUAAAAACUGUAAACAAUAUGGUGAAAUUUAUUUCCAAGUAAAGUGGUAUGUGAUAACACUGGUUUGCAAAUUUAAUCAUGCCAUAUUCUAGAGAAAUGAGUUAGGAAAAAUAAUGGCAGAUCAGGUAGGCAUAGAUGAUUUUGGAAAUAUCAAGAGGUUAAAAAUGGGUUUUAAAGUAAGACACAAUAUUAUGAAGUUUGUGAAAAAAUAUUGUGCUAGAAAAUAAAUUUUCAUAUAUCAUAUACCAUAUCAAACACCUAAUCAAAUUUCAUUACAUUGUACUCAGAUUGCAUGUUGCAUUUAGUACUAUGUUUCCCGAAAUAAGUGCUUGGCCCUAUUUUCGUGGAGAUCUUAUUAUUUUUCAGGUGCAGGAGGUGGUGAGCGU
Non-coding RNA from Thamnophis sirtalis, 3515 nucleotides. NCBI's taxonomy places the organism in Eukaryota, Metazoa, Chordata, Lepidosauria, Squamata, Natricidae. The record is from RefSeq and is a predicted model, not a curated record.